This 72-nucleotide transfer RNA is filed under the name Peromyscus pectoralis (white-ankled mouse). RNAcentral's name for it is "tRNA-Gln". It matches the Rfam family "tRNA". From Rfam's summary of the family: Transfer RNA (tRNA) molecules are approximately 80 nucleotides in length. Their secondary structure includes four short double-helical elements and three loops (D, anti-codon, and T loops). Further hydrogen bonds mediate the characteristic L-shaped molecular structure. tRNAs have two regions of fundamental functional importance: the anti-codon, which is responsible for specific mRNA codon recognition, and the 3' end, to which the tRNAs corresponding amino acid is attached (by aminoacyl-tRNA synthetases). tRNAs cope with the degeneracy of the genetic code in two manners: having more than one tRNA (with a specific anti-codon) for a particular amino acid; and 'wobble' base-pairing, i.e. permitting non-standard base-pairing at the 3rd anti-codon position. The record is from RNAcentral. Lineage: Eukaryota; Metazoa; Chordata; Mammalia; Rodentia; Cricetidae.
UAGGAUAGGGUGUAUUAGGUAGCACGUAGAAUUUUGAAUUCUUAGGUAUAGGUUCAAUUCCUAUUAUCCUAG